Molecule: transfer RNA, 64 nt
Filed under: Notonecta lutea
Lineage: Eukaryota; Metazoa; Arthropoda; Insecta; Hemiptera; Notonectidae
Also listed under: 2 other names
Description: tRNA-Thr
Rfam family: tRNA
About the family: Transfer RNA (tRNA) molecules are approximately 80 nucleotides in length.
Source: RNAcentral
GUUUUAAUAGUUUAAGUAAAAUAAUGAUCUUGUAAAUCAUAGAUAGGAAAUAACCUUUAAAACU